AGAGUUUGAUCCUGGCUCAGGAUGAACGCUGGCGGCGUGCUUAAUGCAUGCAAGUCGAACGAGAACCUCUUGAUAGGUAACUAUCGAGGGACUUCUAGUGGCGAACGGGUGAGUAACACGUGAGAAACCUGCCCCAAAGACCGGGAUAGCCCAUGGAAACGUGGAUUAAUACCGGAUGCCCUCACGGAAUCGCAUGGUUCUGUGAGGAAAGGCUCCGGCGCUUUGGGAUGGUCUCGCGGCCUAUCAGCUUGUUGGUGAGGUAACGGCUCACCAAGGCACUGACGGGUAGCUGGUCUGAGAGGACGAUCAGCCACACUGGGACUGAGACACGGCCCAGACUCCUACGGGAGGCAGCAGCAGGGAAUAUUGCACAAUGGGCGCAAGCCUGAUGCAGCGACGCCGCGUGAGGGAUGAAGGCUUUCGGGUUGUAAACCUCUUUCAGUGGGGAAGAAGCGCAAGUGACGGUACCCACACAAGAAGGCCCGGCCAACUACGUGCCAGCAGCCGCGGUAAUACGUAGGGGCCAAGCGUUAUCCGGAUUUAUUGGGCGUAAAGAGCUCGUAGGCGGUUUGGUAAGUCGGUCGUGAAAGUCCGAGGCUCAACCUCGGAAUGCCGGUCGAUACUGCCAUGACUAGGGUUCGGUAGAGGAGAGUGGAAUUCUCGGUGUAGCGGUGAAAUGCGCAGAUAUCGAGAGGAACACCAGUAGCGAAGGCGGCUCUCUGGGCCGAUACCGACGCUGAGGAGCGAAAGCGUGGGGAGCAAACAGGAUUAGAUACCCUGGUAGUCCACGCCGUAAACGUUGAUCACUAGAUGUGGCGGACUCAUUGACGUCUGCCGUGUCGAAGCUAACGCAUUAAGUGAUCCGCCUGGGGAGUACGGGCGCAAGGCUAAAACUCAAAGGAAAUUGACGGGGCCCCGCACAGCGGCGGAGCAUG
Molecule: ribosomal RNA, 935 nt
Filed under: uncultured bacterium
Lineage: Bacteria
Description: bacterial SSU rRNA
Rfam family: Bacterial small subunit ribosomal RNA
Source: RNAcentral